UGCGGAAAGAAAUUCUAAAAUUUUCGUUUAGAAAUAAAAUAUAAAUAAAAAUAAAAUACCAAAACUGGAAAACUGUUUGAGACAAUUAGCAGUUGAGAACUUAUGAUUAUGCAUCACUAUAUGAAACUGAUGAAUUGAUUGCUCCCGUGCUCCAGUGGCAAAUAUAUCACGCAUAUUUACGACGAGGCGAAAGUAGAUCUGAAGUAAAUGAUUGAUACAUUAUCAAGAUAUAAAGAGUUUGCUAGCGGUAAAACGUAUGCCGUACUAGAUAAAGUAGAUAAAGUUGAAUAAUGAUCAAAAUCUUGAGUUAAGCUAUUA
Molecule: long non-coding RNA, 318 nt
Filed under: Mytilus galloprovincialis (Mediterranean mussel)
Lineage: Eukaryota; Metazoa; Mollusca; Bivalvia; Mytilida; Mytilidae
Source: RNAcentral